GUUAUCUGGUUGAUCCUGCCAGUAUUAUAUGCUUCUGUUAAAGAUUAAGCCAUGCAUGUCUAAGCAUAAAGUCCUUGAAAGAUGAAGCUGCGAACGGCUCAUUACAACAGUUAUAAUCUUUUUGAUGAAGUACGUACAAGGAUAUCUUUGAGAAUGUCAAAGCUAAUACUUGACGGUUUACACCUCCUGUCGAGUCUACUCCUUUUAGGGGUAAAAUCGAUAGGGGCGGGGGAGGCUUCAUGCAUCCUCUACAUAUUACCACCUUUUUUUGAAUAAGGGUGGAUAUAUGCCAAGAGAAUUGUAGAAAUCGAAAGAUUUUCACAAGUCAUCAUUAAGAAUAUCUGACCUAUCAACUGGUUGUUGGUAAGGUAGUGGCUUACCAAGGUAAUAACGGGUAACGAGGAAUAAGGGUUCGACAUCGGAGAGGGAGCUUUAGAAAUGGCUACCACUUCUAAGGAAGGCAGCAGGCGCGAAAAUUACCCAAUCUUAACAAAUGAAGGAGGUAGUGACGACAAUUAACGCUAUCUCUCGUCUUUUGGCGAGGAUCGUCGGAAUGAUUUCGAUUUAAAAUAUCGAAAGAAAGCAAUUGGAGGGCAAGUCUGGUGCCAGCAGCCGCGGUAAUUCCAGCUCCAAUAGUGUAUUGUAAAGUUGUUGUGAUUAAAACGCUCGUAGUUGAAUGAAAACAAUCGAGACGUGAUUUACGUUCUCUCGGUCAUACGAUGGAUUCGUCCAUCCGGCCGAGUUGAACUGCAAUCGCAUAACGUCUCAUAAUAAGCGGGAGUUUGUUUACUCAAACUCUUUUACUUUGAUUAAAUCAAGGUGCUUAAAGCAAAAUCUUCUGUUAAUGAAUGAUGAAGCAUGGUAUAGAAUUAAAACAGAACAGAAAGAAAAACGAAUAAAUGGAGAUGGGCAACCAUUCGAAAUUUAUUUAUUUUUGUUUUGUUUAAAACAAGGUUAAGAGAAAUGAUUAGGGUGAUUUAGAUAGGAACGGGAGAGGUGGAAUUCCAUGAUCUUUUCGAGAUAAACGAGAGCGAAAGCAUUUCACUGAAUUCAUUUCAUUAAUCAAGAACGAAAGUCAGGGAAUCAAAGACGAUUAGAUACCGUCGUAGUCCUGACCAUAAACGAUGUCAACUAAGGAUUGGAUAAGAAAUAUCGAAGUAUUGAGUACUCACUCGGUCACAUCAGUGACUGGAUGAGUAUUUGACUUCAAAUCUUCCCUUAUUCAGGACUUGAUGAGAAAUCAUUAAGUGAAUGGACUUCAGGGGGAGUAUGGUCACAAGGCUGAAACUUAAAGGAAUUGACGGAAGGGCACACCAGGAGUGGAGCCUGCGGCUUAAUUUGACUCAACACGGGAAAACUUACCAAGACCAAACGGUGUAAGGAAUGACAGAUUACUGGGUCUUUCAUGAUUCAUCGGGGAGUGGUGCAUGGCCGUUCUUAGUUCGUGGACUGAUUUGUCUGGUUAAUUCCGAUAACGAACGAGACUUGAACUUAUUAAUUAGUUGAGCAAGAAUCAUUUUCGGAUGGUUUUGCUUACUGUCGUAAGGCAGAAUGGUGGAAUUUUGUUUUACCAUUACUUCUUAAAGGGACACAUCUUUAAUCUUUCCGGGUAUUCACAAGAACCUAAGCCUAGCUUAGAAAUGUGAAUAUCUGGAAAAAAGAAGAAGGAAGCGUCAAGCAAUAACAGGUCUGUGAUGCCCUUAGACAUCUUGGGCUGCACGCGUGCUACAAUGAAAGUACUAACGAGUCCCCGCUGGUAGCAGUGGUCUGGAUCUUUCGGGAUUCGGGCUAUUGCAGCCAGCAUUUUCCUAGUCCGAAAGGAUAAGGAAAGCUCUAAUGUCUUUUUUAAUUCUUGACUGGGAUGAAUGAUUGGAAUUAUUUGUUCUGAACAAGGAAUUCCUUGUAAGCGCAAGUCAUUACCUUGCGCUGAAUAAGUCCCUGCCCUUUGUACACACCGCCCGUCGCUCCUACCGAUUGAAUAAAGAGGUGAAAUGUCAGGAUUCUGGUGAUUUAUCAUUGGGAAAAUGAUAGUAAAUCUCUUUGUUUAGAGGAAGGAGAAGUCGUAACAAGGUUUCCGUAGGUGAACCUGGGGAAGGAUAA
RNAcentral lists this ribosomal RNA (2100 nucleotides) under Entamoeba coli. RNAcentral's name for it is "partial 18S ribosomal RNA". It matches the Rfam family "Eukaryotic small subunit ribosomal RNA". The record is from RNAcentral. Lineage: Eukaryota; Evosea; Mastigamoebida; Endamoebidae.